CCUACGGGUGGCAGCAGUGAGGAAUAUUGGUCAAUGGACGGGAGUCUGAACCAGCCAAGUCGCGUGCAGGAUGACAGCCCUAUGGGUUUUAAACUGCUUUUGUAAGGGAAUAAAGUGCGCCACGUGUGUCGGUUUGUAUGUAUCUUAUGAAUAAGCAUCGGCUAAUUCCGUGCCAGCAGCCGCGGUAAUACGGAGGAUGCGAGCGUUAUCCGGAUUUAUUGGGUUUAAAGGGAGCGUAGGCGGUUCCAUAAGUCAGCGGUAAAAUCGUGCGGCUCAACCUUACGGUGCCGUUGAAACUGUGGGACUGUAGUAUGCGCAGGGUACAUGGAAGGCGUGGUGUAGCGGUGAAAUGCUUAGAUAUCACGAAGAACUCCGAUCGCGAAGGCAUUGUACCGGAGCAAGACUGACGCUGAGGCUCGAAAGUGCGGGUAUCAAACAGGAUUAGAUACCCUUGUAGUC
This 459-nucleotide ribosomal RNA is filed under the name uncultured bacterium. RNAcentral describes it as "partial 16S ribosomal RNA". It matches the Rfam family "Bacterial small subunit ribosomal RNA", at positions 338 to 795 of the family's 1533-position model. The record is from RNAcentral.